Molecule: long non-coding RNA, 1172 nt
Filed under: Astyanax mexicanus (Mexican tetra)
Lineage: Eukaryota; Metazoa; Chordata; Actinopteri; Characiformes; Acestrorhamphidae
Description: lncRNA (ENSAMXG00005022540.1)
Source: RNAcentral
ACUGAGAGAGCUGGCUGUCAUGGAGGGAAGGGAGCUGAAGAAGUGAGAAAUAAGGAGGAGAGACUCCUGAAGAUUGGACAGUCAGAUUUAAUGCUGUAUACCUUGGAGGAGCUCCAUCUUCAGAUUUGAUCAAGUUGGACCCUCAGCUGGACACUUGAUCACUGAUCAGUAUUGAAACCAAGAUUGUGUAGUUUCACAUCUAAAUAUUUGUGGAUGGAUCAGAUCAAACCAUUCACUGUGUUCGAGCUCUCAGUUUGACGCCCUCUGCUGGAUCGGUCUGCCCUGGUCAGUUCCUCAGCUGACCAUGGGGAACUACAACUCUGGACUGUACGCUGAUGUGGAACAUUUUAAAGGCAUUGUGUCUUCCCCAGGAAGAGUGACUUCUGAACAGCACAUGCUGGAGAACACCAGCCUUUAUAAUCAUGUUAGUGGUGCUGAGGAGUCAGUAGUUUGGGAGGAGAAUGUACCUGACCUGGCUGCCCUCAAAUUUCUCCAUACUGUACCAGAACCACGCAGAGGAAAGCCAGAGCCUGUUGCGAUUGCUGCAUCUCCUGCAGUCUCCUCUGGACCAGCACUAAAGCCCAGACCUCCUCCGUCCGGCCCGGCUACUCUACAGGGGCUCAGAGACGAGAUCCACGACAUGAGAGGAGAACUGGAGCUGCUGAAGAAUCAGCACAAGAGAGAGAUUACACUGAUGAUGAACGAACUGGACGAGGAGAAGAAAAUGCGCCUAUCGCUGCAGGUUGAAGUUGAUCGUCUUAAGAAACACAUGUCCAAGUGAUCUAAAUCAAACCAAAAUGGACAGAACAGAUCUCACUGUGACUCAGAGGAGAUACGCUGACCCUGGAUUUACCUCUGAGCUGAACCUGAAUCAAAGAUCCAGUGUGUUUAAGGCUUUCAGAAACACUGGAUGGUUCAGGAGUGACAUUGAGCUGCAAACCUGCCUGUGACAGACUGUGGUAGACUGUAAUAAACUGUUCUGAAAUUAAAUAUGUUCAGUAUAAAAUACAACAUAUUAUUAUUGACAUGUGAAUGGGGUCUAACACUUAUAAGAGUCUCAAGUCUCUUUAUCUUUAUAUGAAGAUUGAGCCAUUGUUCAAGUCUGUAACUCUGUGUUUUAAUCUUUUCCUGGUUUUAGUGUAUGGAUCAACCCUUUUGUCUGUUUGCAUAUC